RNAcentral lists this long non-coding RNA (226 nucleotides) under Elaeis guineensis (African oil palm). RNAcentral's name for it is "long non-coding RNA (EGUI_LNC072145)". Lineage: Eukaryota; Viridiplantae; Streptophyta; Magnoliopsida; Arecales; Arecaceae. The record is from RNAcentral.
UGACGGGGCAUGUGGCCUUUCAUACUUUCUUUCUAAAAAAUUCUUAAAUACAUACCAUUAAAUACAUCUAAAAUUUCAUUGUAAGAUUAAUACUUCAAACAAUCCUACUCUUUUAUAAAUACAUAGCAGAACCUUUCAAAGGUUUGGUUGUAUAGUCUCUCAAUCUCUAAUGGCUCACAUUUUAACAGCCCCAUAUCAUCGCACCAGGAGUCAGCAUCUUAGCAGC